Molecule: long non-coding RNA, 308 nt
Organism: Magnolia sinica
Lineage: Eukaryota; Viridiplantae; Streptophyta; Magnoliopsida; Magnoliales; Magnoliaceae
Exons: 3
Source: RefSeq, a predicted model, not a curated record
GACUCCUAUGAUAGUUUAACCAGAAGGAUUCCAAGGAGCUUUUUUUUUUUUUUUUUUCUCUCGAUAGCAGGCACAUUUUUAAAAGAAAGCUCAGGGUCUUUGUCUUCUCUCUCCGAAAGGUUCUCUGAUGGGCAGGAAAAGGGCUCAGAUGAAAUUGUCUUCAAGGUGAUGGGAAGAGCUAUAAAUAAAAUUGUUAUGAUCGUGGAGCUGAUUAAGGUGUCAUAGAGUUCGUGAUAGCAGAACUGCUUUACUUGCAAUGGAUGGGAUCCAAACCAGCCAAUUUAUCUUUACAUCAAUUCAACUGGAAU